AUGUUGUAUAAAAGGAAAACAGUGCUCCCCUUGACAAUGGCAGAAGAAGUUUAGGCAUGCAACAUGUAUACAGUUAUGGAACUGCCACUUAAUUUUUGGCAUUUUAGCACUUUUUUUU
Molecule: non-coding RNA, 118 nt
Filed under: Sorex araneus (European shrew)
Lineage: Eukaryota; Metazoa; Chordata; Mammalia; Eulipotyphla; Soricidae
Source: RNAcentral